RNAcentral lists this transfer RNA (67 nucleotides) under Marmota monax (woodchuck). Its description in RNAcentral is "tRNA.Ala". Lineage: Eukaryota; Metazoa; Chordata; Mammalia; Rodentia; Sciuridae. The record is from RNAcentral.
GGUUGUAGCUCAGUGGUAAAGUGCUUGCCUUGCAUGUGUGAGGCCAUGGGUUCUGUCCCCAGCACCA